AGGACUGGAGCAUAGAGCGUAAACAACUAAUUACCCAGAGAGAAGAACUUGUGAGCCCUGGUGUGACGGUGCAUCUGGUACCUCCUGCCAGAGCAACAACAAAUACAGAGUAACUCCCAGAACUGUUCCUGGACACCACAUGGUCAUAGUUGUAGGUGACCUUCUCCUCUGAACCCCGCUGGGAUGAAACCUCCUCCCCGUCCUUGCAGAAGAUGAUGCGGGUGGCCAGGAGCUGGGACAGCACGGAGCACUGGAGCCGCAUGGAGUCCCCUGGCUGGGCAGACGUCUGGCUCAGGUCCUGCUUCCCUUCUCCUGGCCCAAACCUCAGGGCAGCCUGGGCAGAAUUAGACCCAUCUCUCCAGCCCUAUGGAUGGAGCCAGAUGCUGCAGGACUAGAGAGCGACAGGCUGCUGCUCAGAA
Molecule: long non-coding RNA, 419 nt
Organism: Mauremys reevesii (Reeves's turtle)
Lineage: Eukaryota; Metazoa; Chordata; Testudines; Geoemydidae
Exons: 3
Source: RefSeq, a predicted model, not a curated record